RNAcentral lists this ribosomal RNA (1973 nucleotides) under human oral metagenome. Its description in RNAcentral is "bacterial LSU rRNA". It matches the Rfam family "Bacterial large subunit ribosomal RNA", at positions 3 to 2007 of the family's 2925-position model. The record is from RNAcentral.
UCAAGUGAAAAAGAGCAUAAGGCGGAUGCCUUGGCACUGGGAGCCGACGAAGGACGUGACAAGCUGCGAUAAGCUACGGGGAGGAGCACAUAUCCGUCAAUCCGUAGAUUUCCGAAUGGGGGAACCCACCUAUAGUAAUGUGUAGGUAUUUUCGUAUGAAUCUAUAGUACGAAUAAAGGCAACCCGGGGAACUGAAACAUCUAAGUACCCGGAGGAAGAGAAAGAAAAAUCGAUUUCCUAAGUAGCGGCGAGCGAAAGGGAAAGAGGCCAAACCGUUAGUUUACUAACGGGGUUGUGGAUCACAGCCGUGGUAGAUACAAGUUUAGCAGAAGACAACUGGAAAGUUUGCGACAUAGAGGGUAAUAUCCCCGUAUGCGAAAAAUGAGUAUCACCUAUGUGACACCAGAGUAGGACCGAACACGUGGAAUUCGGUUUGAAGCCGGGGGGCCCACCCCCCAAGCCUAAAUACUACCCAGUGACCGAUAGUGAAUAGUACCGUGAGGGAAAGGUGAAAAGGACCCCGGGAGGGGAGUGAAAUAGAACCUGAAACCUUAUGCUUACAAGCAGAGGGAGCGCAAGUGACCUCGUACUUUUUGUAGAACGGGCCAACGAGUUAUGGUAUGCAGCGAGGUUAAGGUGCUGGAGCACUGGAGCCGUAGAGAAAUCGAGUCUGAAAGGGCGAAAGUUGCAUGCUGUAGACCCGAAACCGGGUGAUCUAUCCAUGUCCAGGUUGAAGUAACUGUAAUAGGUUAUGGAGGACCGAACUUAUAUCUGUUGAAAAAGGUUAGGAUGAGGUGUGGAUAGGGGUGAAAUUCCAAUCGAACUCGGAUAUAGCUGGUUCUCCUCGAAAUAGCUUUAGGGCUAGCCUCGUAGUAAGAUACCUGGGGGUAGAGCACUGAAUGUUCUAGGGGCCUUCACCGGUUACCGAAAACUAUCAAACUCCGAAUACCAGAGUAUCAUCUACGGGAGUCAGACUAUGUGAGAUAAGUUUCAUAGUCGAAAGGGAAACAGCCCAGACCGUCAGCUAAGGUCCCAAAAUAUAGGUUAAGUGGAAAAGGAUGUGGGGUUGCACAGACAGCUAGGAUGUUGGCUUAGAAGCAGCCAUUCAUUCAAAGAGUGCGUAAUAGCUCACUAGUCGAGUGACCCUGCGCCGAAGAUAAACGGGGCUAAAACCUAUUACCGAAGCUACGGAUACUUAAUGUAUGGUAGAGGAGCGUCGUAUACGGGUUGAAGCAGUACUGUAAGGUAUUGUGGACUUUAUACGAGAGAGAAUGUUGGCAUGAGUAGCGCGAGGCAGGUGAGAAUCCUGCCCACCGAAAAUCUAAGGUUUCCUGAGGAAGGUUCGUCCACUCAGGGUUAGUCGGGGCCUAAGCCGAGGGCGAAAGCCAUAGGCGAUGGAUAACAGGUAGAAAUUCCUGUACCACCGAAGGUUGUUUGAAUGAUGUGGGGACACAGGAGGAUAAGCUGAGCACGCCGUUGGUAGAGCGUGUCCAAGCGUCAAGGGAGUAUGAAUAGGCAAAUCCGUUCAUAUAUAUUCUGAGGCGUGAUGGGGUGGUCAAUAGACCGGAAGCAGCUGAUUUCACACUGUCAAGAAAAGCCGCUAAUUAGACCUAAGGUGCCCGUACCGCAAACCGACACAGGUAGAUGAGGAGAGAAUCCUAAGGUGAGCGAGAGAACUAUUGUUAAGGAACUCGGCAAAAUAACCCCGUAACUUCGGGAGAAGGGGUGCCUGCUUCGGCAGGCCGCAGUGAAAAGGCCCAGGCAACUGUUUACCAAAAACACAGGUCUCUGCAAAAGCGAAAGCUGAAGUAUAGGGGCUGACGCCUGCCCGGUGCUGGAAGGUUAAGGGGACGUGUCAUCGCAAGAGAAGCACUGAACUUAAGCCCCAGUAAACGGCGGCCGUAACUAUAACGGUCCUAAGGUAGCGAAAUUCCUUGUCGGGUAAGUUCCGACCCGCACGAAAGGCGUAAUGA